AUUGGACAAUGGGCGCAAGCCUGAUCCAGCCAUACCGCGUGGGUGAAGAAGGCCUUCGGGUUGUAAAGCCCUUUUGUUGGGAAAGAAAUCCUGUCGGUUAAUAACCGGUGGGGAUGACGGUACCCAAAGAAUAAGCACCGGCUAACUUCGUGCCAGCAGCCGCGGUAAUACGAAGGGUGCAAGCGUUACUCGGAAUUACUGGGCGUAAAGCGUGCGUAGGUGGUGGUUUAAGUCUGCUGUGAAAGCCCUGGGCUCAACCUGGGAAUUGCAGUGGAUACUGGAUCACUAGAGUGUGGUAGAGGGAUGCGGAAUUUCUGGUGUAGCAGUGAAAUGCGUAGAGAUCAGAAGGAACAUCCGUGGCGAAGGCGGCAUCCUGGGCCAACACUGACACUGAGGCACGAAAGCGUGGGGAGCAAACAGGAUUAGAUACCCUGGUAGUCCACGCCCUAAACGAUGCGAACUGGAUGUUGGGUGCAACUUGGCACCCAGUAUCGAAGCUAACGCGUUAAGUUCGCCGCCUGGGGAGUACGGUCGCAAGACUGAAACUCA
Molecule: ribosomal RNA, 549 nt
Filed under: Pseudoxanthomonas sp. TK57
Lineage: Bacteria; Pseudomonadati; Pseudomonadota; Gammaproteobacteria; Lysobacterales; Lysobacteraceae
Description: bacterial SSU rRNA
Rfam family: Bacterial small subunit ribosomal RNA
Source: RNAcentral